UGAGGAUAUAGCUCAGUUGGUAGAGUGUUUGCCUCAUAUGUACAAGGCCCUGGGUUCAAUUCUCAGCACCACAA
This 74-nucleotide transfer RNA is filed under the name Marmota monax (woodchuck). RNAcentral describes it as "tRNA.Met". The stretch from base 9 to 66 matches the Rfam family "tRNA", at positions 8 to 63 of the family's 71-position model. From Rfam's summary of the family: Transfer RNA (tRNA) molecules are approximately 80 nucleotides in length. Their secondary structure includes four short double-helical elements and three loops (D, anti-codon, and T loops). The record is from RNAcentral. Lineage: Eukaryota; Metazoa; Chordata; Mammalia; Rodentia; Sciuridae.